Gastrolobium bilobum is the source of this 787-nucleotide long non-coding RNA. RefSeq lists it as uncharacterized. The record is from RefSeq and is a predicted model, not a curated record. Lineage: Eukaryota; Viridiplantae; Streptophyta; Magnoliopsida; Fabales; Fabaceae. The transcript has 4 exons.
CCCAAACAAAUCCUAAUGCAAAUUUGGAGAGGAGCUCCUCCCUGGAAAGAGGUAGAAAGGCGGCGCUGUUGGCUUGUAAGGGUGCUGCUGGCAGAAGAAAUUGGUUAUAAGAGUGUGUUUCUGGAGUAAACGCAUUUAGUUACAGCACUGUGUUGUUGAGGGUGAUGAGGACCCUGGUGAGAUUUUUGUGUUAGAAAUCAUGGGAACAAAGAGGUCUCUUCAAGAUGCAGAUGAAGUGUUUGAGAAAAUGGUAGAGAGGAAUUCAGUGGUUAACCAAAGGGCACUUCGGAGUUGCCAUUGAAUGUGAGAAGAAAGGAUUCGUGCAAAACUAUGAACAUGGUCAAGUGAUGGAGAAGUUGAUCUCGAUGGUUUGGGAGAUGGAGAACCUCCGUGUGGAGAUUGUGAAUGCAAAGAAUAGAGCAUGUGUUACUGCUGCAGCUGGGAAUUCAGGCGGUAUGCCUUUUGAUUGGCUGUUUAUGGGCUGCAGGUUCAGCUGGUGCCUUUCUGGCCUUAUCUCUAUUAUGUCAAGCUAUCUGGGUAGAGUGGUGGCAAGCUGAAGCUAUCCUUUAUGUAUUGAUUUUGUGGCGCUGUGGCUUCUUACUCGUGCUUUAUUGACCUAUUCCUUAACUUUGAAGUCAUGUUUAAAGACGGUUUAGGUGCGCGAUAUGGAUAUCGCGCAUUGUUCGGGCCUUAUGUGUUUGGGCUUUUAAUCUUUGGGUUUUAACCCUUUGGUGGACUUAUUGUAUUUUAUCCAGAUCAGUUCCAUCAUUAUCACUUAAAAAUUUAU